This 429-nucleotide ribosomal RNA is filed under the name Chloroflexota bacterium. RNAcentral describes it as "Chloroflexi bacterium partial 16S ribosomal RNA". It matches the Rfam family "Bacterial small subunit ribosomal RNA", at positions 355 to 776 of the family's 1533-position model. The record is from RNAcentral. Lineage: Bacteria; Bacillati; Chloroflexota.
UGGGGAAUAUUGCACAAUUGGCGCAAGCCUGAUGCAGCCAUGCCGCGUGUAUGAAUAAGGCCUUCGGGUUUUAAAGUACUUUCAGCUUGGAGGAAGUUAGUAAAGUUAAUACCUUUGCUCAUUGACGUUACCCGCAGAAGAAGCACCGUCUAACUCCGUUCCAGCAGCCGCGGUAAUACUGAGGGUGCAAGCGUUACUCGGAAUUACUUGGCGUAAAGCGCACGCAGGCGGUUUGUUAAGUCAGAUGUGAAAUCCUCGGGCUCAACCUGGGAACUGCAUCUGAUACUGGCAAGCUUGAGUCUCGUAGAGGGGGGUAGAAUUCCAGGUGUAGCGGUGAAAUGCGUAGAGAUCUGGAUGAAUACCGGUGGCGAAGGCGGCCCCCUGGACGAAGACUGACGCUCAGGUGCGAAAGCGUGGGGAGCAAACAGG